RNAcentral lists this ribosomal RNA (301 nucleotides) under uncultured bacterium. RNAcentral describes it as "partial 16S ribosomal RNA". It matches the Rfam family "Bacterial small subunit ribosomal RNA", at positions 509 to 807 of the family's 1533-position model. The record is from RNAcentral.
CAGUAGCCACGGGAAUACGAAGGGGGCUAGCGUUGUUCGGAAUUACUGGGCGUAAAGCGCACGUAGGCGGAUAUUUAAGUCAGGGGUGAAAUCCCAGAGCUCAACUCUGGAACUGCCUUUGAUACUGGGUAUCUUGAGUAUGGAAAAGGUGAGUGGAAUUCCGAGUGUAGAGGUGAAAUUCGUAGAUAUUCGGAGGAACACCAGUGGCGAAGGCGGCUCACUGGUCCAUUACUGACGCUGAGGUGCGAAAGCGUGGGGAGCAAACAGGAUUAGAUACCCGAGUAGUCCCUGUCUCUUAUAC